GAUGAACGCUGGCGGCGUGCCUAAUACAUGCAAGUCGAGCGAACAGACGAGGAGCUUGCUCCUCUGACGUUAGCGGCGGACGGGUGAGUAACACGUGGAUAACCUACCUAUAAGACUGGGAUAACUUCGGGAAACCGGAGCUAAUACCGGAUAAUAUAUUGAACCGCAUGGUUCAAUAGUGAAAGACGGUUUUGCUGUCACUUAUAGAUGGAUCCGCGCCGCAUUAGCUAGUUGGUAAGGUAACGGCUUACCAAGGCAACGAUGCGUAGCCGACCUGAGAGGGUGCUCGGCCACACUGUACCUGAGACACGGUCCAGACUCCUACGGGAGGCAGCAGUAGGGAAUCUUCCGAAAUGGGCGAAAGCCUGACGGAGCAACGCCGCGUGAGUUAUGAAGAUCUUCGGAUCGUAAAACUCUGUUAUUAGGGAAGAACAAAUGUGUAAGUAACUAUGCACGUCUUAACGGUACCUAAUCAGAAAGCCACGGCUAGCUACGUG
This 497-nucleotide ribosomal RNA is filed under the name uncultured bacterium. Its description in RNAcentral is "partial 16S ribosomal RNA". It matches the Rfam family "Bacterial small subunit ribosomal RNA", at positions 28 to 507 of the family's 1533-position model. The record is from RNAcentral.